Molecule: small nucleolar RNA, 127 nt
Filed under: Amborella trichopoda
Lineage: Eukaryota; Viridiplantae; Streptophyta; Magnoliopsida; Amborellales; Amborellaceae
Source: RNAcentral
ACCAAUUUUUGGGGGCUUGAUUUGUGUUUCCUCCAUAUGUAAUGGCUUGGGCGGCAUACUAACUUUUGUGGCUAUUAUUCUGAACCUUUACCUGUUGCCGUUGUUAUGGGAAACGCUACAUACACUC